CAGGAGGUAGUUUAAUUAGAAUAUCAGCUUUGGGUGUUGAUGGCAGGGUACGAACUCUCCUCUUGA
This 66-nucleotide transfer RNA is filed under the name Myotis frater. RNAcentral's name for it is "tRNA-Pro". It matches the Rfam family "tRNA". From Rfam's summary of the family: Transfer RNA (tRNA) molecules are approximately 80 nucleotides in length. Their secondary structure includes four short double-helical elements and three loops (D, anti-codon, and T loops). The record is from RNAcentral. Lineage: Eukaryota; Metazoa; Chordata; Mammalia; Chiroptera; Vespertilionidae.